AUGGCCUGUGGGGAUCCUGUGGUGGGGCAUGAGGGGCAGGUGUGGGUCAGUGCAUUGUGGUCUGGUGCCAUCCUGUCAGCACGCCGUCCCCACCAGGUCGGUGUUAGGCCUCAAGGAGCCUGCCAAGUGCUUGUCUGUGCUGACCUCGACCUGCCUGUGAGGGAUCUGGUUUGUGUUUAUGAAAAUACAGGGGAAAAAAAAGAUGCUGUGAAAGUGAAGAACAUAUUGUUAAGAAUGAGAAUUUCCUGGCAGGCAGUCCUUCGAGGUCAUUUUAAUUUUCCAGACAUCUUCAUCAGCUGUUAUAAACCAAUAGCAGUUAUUACUUGGAAAUGGAAAUUAUUGAAAACGUAUAGAGAAAUUCCAAGUUUGUACAGUGAGUCUAUGCAGAAUCCUACAAAUCCUGUGAAACUAAGGAAGGUCUCCUGGAUUCACUGACAUGGAUAAUUUUGCUUUCUUUUUGUAUCCUCAAGUAGCCCCUCUCUACCACCCACAUACCCCUUGGGUUUUUUUUUUUUACUUUUUUUGCAAGAGUUUUGUGUCUGAGAACCAUGCCACAUCCCACACAAUCCUUUAUGAAAAAGAAAAAAUGUAAACUAUAUAACCCUUCCAGAACAUGUUUUGAAACCACAGCAGCCAUCUGGUUUUCCAGAAGGCCUGCUGUUCUUUUCAUGUUUGGAGGAAUAGUUUGAUAACAAACUUGUCUAAUAAAUAUAGAGCUGAAAGACA
Molecule: long non-coding RNA, 726 nt
Filed under: Anser brachyrhynchus (Pink-footed goose)
Lineage: Eukaryota; Metazoa; Chordata; Aves; Anseriformes; Anatidae
Description: lncRNA (ENSABRG00000020037.1)
Source: RNAcentral